RNAcentral lists this ribosomal RNA (1384 nucleotides) under Pigmentiphaga sp. PBR-68. Its description in RNAcentral is "bacterial SSU rRNA". It matches the Rfam family "Bacterial small subunit ribosomal RNA". Lineage: Bacteria; Pseudomonadati; Pseudomonadota; Betaproteobacteria; Burkholderiales; Alcaligenaceae. The record is from RNAcentral.
GUCGGCGAGUGGCGAACGGGUGAGUAAUGCAUCGGAACGUGCCCAGUAGCGGGGGAUAACUACGCGAAAGCGUAGCUAAUACCGCAUACGCCCUACGGGGGAAAGGGGGGGAUCGCAAGACCUCUCACUAUUGGAGCGGCCGAUGUCGGAUUAGCUAGUUGGUGGGGUAAAGGCCUACCAAGGCGACGAUCCGUAGCUGGUUUGAGAGGACGACCAGCCACACUGGGACUGAGACACGGCCCAGACUCCUACGGGAGGCAGCAGUGGGGAAUUUUGGACAAUGGGGGCAACCCUGAUCCAGCCAUGCCGCGUGUGCGAAGAAGGCCUUCGGGUUGUAAAGCACUUUUGCAGGAAAGAAACGGCGCCCUAAUAUCUGGCGUAACUGACGGUACCUGAGAAUAAGCACCGGCUAACUAGUGCCAGCAGCCGCGGUAAUACGUAGGGUGCAAGCGUUAAUCGGAAUUACUGGGCGUAAAGCGUGCGCAGGCGGUUCGGAAAGAAAGAUGUGAAAUCCCAGGGCUCAACCUUGGAACUGCAUUUUUAACUCCCGAACUAGAGUGUGUCAGAGGGGGGGGAAUUCCACGUGUAGCAGUGAAAUGCGUAGAUAUGUGGAGGAACACCGAUGGCGAAGGCAGCCCCCUGGGAUAACACUGACGCUCAUGCACGAAAGCGUGGGGAGCAAACAGGAUUAGAUACCCUGGUAGUCCACGCCCUAAACGAUGUCAACUAGCUGUUGGGUUCUUCGGAGCUUGGUAGCGCAGCUAACGCGUGAAGUUGACCGCCUGGGGAGUACGGUCGCAAGAUUAAAACUCAAAGGAAUUGACGGGGACCCGCACAAGCGGUGGAUGAUGUGGAUUAAUUCGAUGCAACGCGAAAAACCUUACCUACCCUUGACAUGUCUGGAAUCCCGAAGAGAUUUGGGAGUGCUCGAAAGAGAACCGGAACACAGGUGCUGCAUGGCCGUCGUCAGCUCGUGUCGUGAGAUGUUGGGUUAAGUCCCGCAACGAGCGCAACCCUUGUCAUUAGUUGCUACGAAAGGGCACUCUAAUGAGACUGCCGGUGACAAACCGGAGGAAGGUGGGGAUGACGUCAGGUCCUCAUGGCCCUUAUGGGUAGGGCUUCACACGUCAUACAAUGGUCGGGACAGAGGGCAGCCAACCCGCGAGGGGGAGCCAAUCCCAGAAACCCGAUCGUAGUCCGGAUUGCAGUCUGCAACUCGACUGCAUGAAGUCGGAAUCGCUAGUAAUCGCGGAUCAGCAUGUCGCGGUGAAUACGUUCCCGGGUCUUGUACACACCGCCCGUCACACCAUGGGAGUGGGUUCUACCAGAAGUAUAGCCUAACCGCAAGGAGGGCCUUACCGUAGGUUUGACGGAGUAGUAUAGG